UACGGACACAUCACCUUGAAAUACCGGUUCCCUUAUGAUUACUGAAGUUAAGCAAGGUCGAUCCUAGCUAGUACCUAGAUAGGUGACCGCUUGGAAAUACCAGGUGCC
Molecule: non-coding RNA, 108 nt
Organism: Acanthosepion pharaonis
Lineage: Eukaryota; Metazoa; Mollusca; Cephalopoda; Sepiida; Sepiidae
Source: the annotation of a GenBank genome assembly